RNAcentral lists this ribosomal RNA (822 nucleotides) under Teratosphaeria molleriana. RNAcentral describes it as "eukaryotic LSU rRNA". It matches the Rfam family "Eukaryotic large subunit ribosomal RNA", at positions 71 to 925 of the family's 3401-position model. The record is from RNAcentral. Lineage: Eukaryota; Fungi; Ascomycota; Dothideomycetes; Mycosphaerellales; Teratosphaeriaceae.
GGGAUUGCCCUAGUAACGGCGAGUGAAGCGGCAACAGCUCAAAUUUGAAAUCUGGCGCAAGCCCGAGUUGUAAUUUGGAGAGGAUGCUUCAGGGCAGCGGCCGGUCUAAGUUCCUUGGAACAGGACGUCAUAGAGGGUGAGAAUCCCGUAUGCGACCGGUUGGCACCCGUCACGUAGCUCCUUCGACGAGUCGAGUUGUUUGGGAAUGCAGCUCUAAAUGGGAGGUAAAUUUCUUCUAAAGCUAAAUAUUGGCCAGAGACCGAUAGCGCACAAGUAGAGUGAUCGAAAGAUGAAAAGCACUUUGGAAAGAGAGUUAAAAAGCACGUGAAAUUGUUGAAAGGGAAGCGCAUGCAAUCAGACUUGUCGGCGGUGUUCCGCCGGUCUUUUGACCGGUCUACUCGCCGCCGGCAGGCCAGCAUCAUCUGGGUGCGCCGGACAAAGGCGCGGGGAAUGUAGCUCCUCGGAGUGUUAUAGCCCCGCGCACAAUACGGCGCCGCCCGGGUGAGGUCCGCGCUUCGGCUAGGAUGCUGGCGUAAUGGUUGUAUGCGGCCCGUCUUGAAACACGGACCAAGGAGUCUAACAUCUAUGCGAGUGUUCGGGUGUCAAACCCCUACGCGGAAUGAAAGUGAACGGAGGUGGGAAGCGCAAGCUGCACCAUCGACCGAUCCUGAUGUCUUCGGAUGGAUUUGAGUAAGAGCAUAGCUGUUGGGACCCGAAAGAUGGUGAACUAUGCCUGAAUAGGGUGAAGCCAGAGGAAACUCUGGUGGAGGCUCGCAGCGGUUCUGACGUGCAAAUCGAUCGUCGAAUUUGGGUAUAGGGGCG